Molecule: ribosomal RNA, 301 nt
Filed under: uncultured bacterium
Lineage: Bacteria
Description: partial 16S ribosomal RNA
Rfam family: Bacterial small subunit ribosomal RNA
Source: RNAcentral
CCGCCGCGGUAAUACGUAGGUGGCAAGCGUUGUCCGGAAUUAUUGGGCGUAAAGGGCUCGCAGGCGGUUUCUUAAGUCUGAUGUGAAAGCCCCCGGCUCAACCGGGGAGGGUCAUUGGAAACUGGGAAACUUGAGUGCAGAAGAGGAGAGUGGAAUUCCACGUGUAGCGGUGAAAUGCGUAGAGAUGUGGAGGAACACCAGUGGCGAAGGCGACUCUCUGGUCUGUAACUGACGCUGAGGAGCGAGAGCGUGGGGAGCGAACAGGAUUAGAUACCCGGGUAGUCCCUGUCUCUUAUACACA